CAGUACAAACGGCGGGGAAUGAUUGCACGCAUAGGCAGUUCAAUGGAAACUUGAACGUAUUUCGAUUAUGGUGAUGGUGGUGAACACGGAUGAAGUGCUCUGUAUAUAAAUAAAUGUCCGUUAACGUGUCUAACCCACGGCUGAAUUGACCAACUCGAAUCACAAUAGCAGCUUGAGGACCAGCAAAAUGGGAAUCCAUCCCUUCUAUAAUAUUCCAAUGGGGGUUGUGAUAGUAGUAAUAAGCGCAAGGAAUGUAAAACCCCAACGUGUUGAAACGCUUCGAUUGUAGAAUUUCUUUAGAAAACUAGAUAGAACACACCCAAUCCAAAGAAGAAAAAAAGGAAAGAAAAGAAAAGAAAUAUGCAUAAUUUGUUAUUCAUGAGAUGUCAUAUGGUUUGCCUAAUGAUGAAGAGGUAGGAGGAAUAUGAGUCGGUUGAUCAACCAUAUAAUCGAGA
RNAcentral lists this small RNA (455 nucleotides) under Histoplasma capsulatum var. duboisii H88. RNAcentral describes it as "Histoplasma capsulatum H88 hypothetical RNA". Lineage: Eukaryota; Fungi; Ascomycota; Eurotiomycetes; Onygenales; Ajellomycetaceae. The record is from RNAcentral.